This is a regulatory RNA element of Gillisia limnaea DSM 15749, 55 nucleotides long. Lineage: Bacteria; Pseudomonadati; Bacteroidota; Flavobacteriia; Flavobacteriales; Flavobacteriaceae. The record is from Rfam.
AUACCAGGGUAAUUUGACUGAUUGCAACCCUUUAAAAAACGCUAAAGCAGUAGUA